Molecule: ribosomal RNA, 422 nt
Filed under: Shigella sp. VDL-SS337
Lineage: Bacteria; Pseudomonadati; Pseudomonadota; Gammaproteobacteria; Enterobacterales; Enterobacteriaceae
Description: bacterial SSU rRNA
Rfam family: Bacterial small subunit ribosomal RNA
Source: RNAcentral
UUGGGUUAAGUCCCGCAACGAGCGCAACCCUUAUCCUUUGUUGCCAGCGGUCCGGCCGGGAACUCAAAGGAGACUGCCAGUGAUAAACUGGAGGAAGGUGGGGUGCCGUCGAGUCAUCAUGGCCCUUGGCCGACCAGGGCUGCACGCCUAGGUGGCUACAAUGGCGCAUACAAAGAGAAGCGACCUCGCGAGAGCAAGCGGACCUCAUAAAGUGCGUCGUAGUCCGGAUUGGAGUCUUUGCAACUCGACUCCAUGAAGUCGGAAUCGCUAGUUAAUCGUGGAUCAGAAUGCCACGGUGAAUACGUUCCCGGACAUUGUACACACCGUCCGUCACCCGUCAGGAGUGGGUUGCAAACUAAUUCCUGUUACCGUUAACCUUGCGGGAGUUACGCUUACCAACUUUGUUUAAUUUCAGUAAGGAU